This 345-nucleotide long non-coding RNA is filed under the name Homo sapiens (human). Its description in RNAcentral is "non-protein coding lnc-ZNF217-7:1". Lineage: Eukaryota; Metazoa; Chordata; Mammalia; Primates; Hominidae. The record is from RNAcentral.
AUUUCCCAUAAGCCAGGAACAUUCCCAUCUUAGGCCUUUGCGCUGGCUGCUGUCUCUGCACUUUUCCUAACUUCCUUCAAAUCUUUGCCUAAAUAUCAUUUCCUGAUGGCACUUUACUCCAGUCACCCUAUUUAACGUUGCAACCAGUCUCCCCAUUCUUUCAGAACUCCCAAUUCUCUCUUCUUACAUAGUCUCAUGGGAUUUUUCUCGAUUGCUCCCAUCAAAAUUACAAUUAAACAAUUAUUUGUGUAAUUGUUAAAUUCUUGACUCUGCCAUUUACACUCCAUGAGGGCAGGGACUUUGUGCCUUGUGCAUUGCAGUAUCUUCUGCAUUUUGUCAGAGCCU